AUUUUAAUCUUAAUACCACAAAUUCCUCUUUCAUAUACUAAAUCCCUAAAUCUACAAUCAGAAAGGGAAAGAAAGGGAACGGGGAGCUCGAGGGGGAAAACAGAAAGGAAAAAGAAAGGAAGGGGAAAGAGGGAAGGCAGGGGAAAAACGGAGAACAGGGAGAGAGAGUGACGGAACAGAGUAGGAAGAGAGGAAGGAGGAUCGCCGCGCUGUGCCGCUCCUUGUGCCGGUUGCCGUUGCUGUCGUCAGAGCCAGAGAAGAAGAGAAGCAAAACCGCGAAGAGAGAGAGAUCGAAGGAGACGUUCACUCACUCAUCGUUGUCGCUACCAUGCGUUGCCUCUGCUGCUGGUUCAGCUGCCGUCGAGCUCGCAGCAACCGUCACCAUGGAGACCGCCACUAUCAUCUCCGAAGCUGCGUCGUCGAUUAGGUUAAGGAGGGGGAGAAUCGUGAACAACCGGAGGAGGAGAAGAACGUGUGGUGGUGGGUGUUCUCUUAGCCAGCGUCGUUGAAGGAUGCUCCGCCGCCGCCGCCGCCGCCGGAAUCACGAGCUGAGCUGUGGACUGUGACGAUCGAUUUUCCGAAAGAAUCGUUGCUGCUAUGAACUAUUUCAGCCCUGCCCUGGAAAAAUCCCAAAAAUGUUUUUGUUUCCAUCUAGCCACUGUUAUCGCGAUUGUUGAUGACAUCGCUGCUGCAGAGGGUCAUCGGCGUCACUGUUGCGGUUGCUGCCACAAAUUAGGAAUAAAAGGAACUAUUGCGUUAAAUUCUGCAAUUGCGACAUCGAGUGACACAGGUUUGAAGACGCAAUUUGAAGCUACGAGCGAUUAGUAGGUUUUCUUUAUGGUUUUAAUUGCUUUCAUAGAGUCCCCUCGCUCUUGUCCUUUGAAGUUUUAUUUUAUCAGAGGGGUAGGUAUUGUAUUUGGGUGUAUAUGACUUCCUAUGUAUAAGAAUUACUAAUAAUAAUACCUCUGUGAUUGUUAUUAUUAUUUGCAAUGUUUAUCCUUGAUACAUGUCUUUAAUGAAUAAAAACAAAAUUUUCCGGAAUUUUCUUAAAACUAAAAUGCGAACUCGAUAUAAAGGCUCAGUAAUUAAGUAGUUAAUAUUAGAAAAGGUCACGUAACGUUCUUUCUAGUAGAAAUACCCUGACUUAAGCAAGGUAUUUUGCUGGAAGGGAUGUUACAAUAUGGUAUCAGAGCAGUCCUUCCUGUAGAGCCUUGGGAGUGGACUGACUAUGCUUCAUUGCAUACUCUGAGUGUCUGUCAUGCUUUCUAACUUGUUCUGAUGACAAGAUUUUGUGUUUUAUAUGCAUGGCUGUCUUGUGAUUAACGCUAUUAGUUUAUCAUUGCAUACCUCAUGGUAUCAAGUUUGGCCAACUUAAUACUAAUGAUUUAUGUAUAUGGAAAUACUAAUGGGUUAUCAUAGACGAAAUAGAAGUGAUAGGUUAAUGCGAAUCACGAGGUUUUGGGGACGUUAGAAACUAAGUUCUAGAGAUUAGCUCCGUUUCGACGUAUCGUCUUUAUUCGUGCUUAGCGUUAUUUCUUUCUCUACCAAUUGUAUUAGAAUUUCUAAUUUCUGAUCUCUUUCUUGCUAAUCUUGUAUUAUCAUUCGUGCAUGUCCUUGCUUGACUCUGUACCUGGUUGUUGUUUGAAUCUUUUGAAACAUUUAUCUUUACCUUACAAACUCUAUGCUCCUUGUUCUGAACUUGGAUUCAUUUCAGUGUAACAUACCAUUUCUUGUAAUUUCCUUUCUGAGUAUUUAUUUCAGAUUUUCUUUGAGAAAAAUUUCAAUUCAAAUCUUUUCUUACUUGACUGUAUCCACAACCCUUGCUUAAAUUUUGAUGGGAUUGUUUUAAUUCAGCCUAGACUUUCUUACAUAAACUCUGAAGCUUCUUUAUGUAGUUUAAUUUUGUUUAAUUGUGAUAUACCACUUAUCUUUUAUUGAUUUAUAGAAAAAUUUAUUUCAGAAUUCAUUCUUUAAAUAGAAGCUGAUUUUCUUCCAUCUUUACUAUAAUUCUAUAGCUAUGUACUUAAGUAUCUUCCAAGCUUUAGUUUACAAACCAUGCAUGAUUUGUUUUGAUUUGAAAAUUAAAUCGAUAUAACAUACUAUUUAUACUAAGUUUAGUACAUUGAAAAAUGUUGGAUUUAUAUAUGUUCUUUUGAAAAAGAUAAACUAAUACCCUCUAUUUCAAAUUUAAGUUAUUCAAAAUUGUUGUACUAUUUUUCCUAUGAUGUUCAUAUUGAAAUUGUUCGAUUCAAAAUUUCUUCCUAAGCCUUGAAUUAAUUCCCUUUAUUCUCCAUUUCAUUGUUUAUAUAUCCUUGUUUGUUGAUGAUUUCACGUUUUCCUUCAAAUCCUGGCGAAAUACCAUCUUGUUCAACUGAGAACUUGAGUAUUCUUCCAAUUUCUCACAUAAACCUUUCAUGCCGUUUGUCUUUCUCUUCUCAUGUUUCGUAUUCUUUAUAUGCGCUAGUUCUUAGGGACACGAUUUGUGCGUACGGAGAGUGAAUUUGGUUAGUCUACGAAAUUAUAAGGAGUUAUGGAGUUUUGAGGCGAUGAGAGGAAGUGAUCAUGCUUUGUUAAAAGUUGUGAACGAAUAUGUACCUAUUUGAUUUUGGAUUUUAAAAUUUUUCUUAUGUUAAGUUACUUUAUCAACUCUAGCAUUACCUAGUAUAUUUUCUUCUAUGUUUAUGUGAUAUGAUUUUCUUGGAGCCUUUAAAAUAUUCAAAAGGGGAUGUGAAUAUAAAUCUUUUCUUCAUUUUAUAUCAAUUUUCGAGGACGAAAAUUUUUGUAAGUUGGAUAGAAUGUAACAUCCCUCAUUUUU
Arachis stenosperma is the source of this 2815-nucleotide long non-coding RNA. RefSeq lists it as uncharacterized. NCBI's taxonomy places the organism in Eukaryota, Viridiplantae, Streptophyta, Magnoliopsida, Fabales, Fabaceae. The record is from RefSeq and is a predicted model, not a curated record. The transcript has 4 exons.